GCGGGGCUGCGUGGUUCGUGAGGAGUUUCACUUCCCCGGGGCCUUAUCGAUCUCCUAGGGAGCUGUCCCUGACCGGGCUCGUGGGUCCGGACAAACGGCGCCCACCUACGUUGUAGGUUCCCGGGAUCGAUACAUCCCACGGCCGAGGCGGCUCCGCA
RNAcentral lists this non-coding RNA (158 nucleotides) under Pseudomonadota bacterium. RNAcentral's name for it is "6S RNA". It matches the Rfam family "6S / SsrS RNA". From Rfam's summary of the family: E. coli 6S RNA was the first non coding RNA to be sequenced, but its function was unknown until recently. It consists of 184 nucleotides that fold into an extended hairpin structure with a large single-stranded internal bulge. The record is from RNAcentral. Lineage: Bacteria; Pseudomonadati; Pseudomonadota.